This 863-nucleotide unclassified non-coding RNA is filed under the name Hevea brasiliensis (rubber tree). The record is from RNAcentral. Lineage: Eukaryota; Viridiplantae; Streptophyta; Magnoliopsida; Malpighiales; Euphorbiaceae.
GGAUUUUUUCUCUUUCUCUUCCUCUUUCGUAAAGGUCCCUGUCUCUAUAAUUCAGCGGUUUCCUCUGUCCCAUCGGACAAGGGACCCUCUUUCUCUAGUCCCAAAAGGGGCAUGCCCUCCUUCCUUCUGGGCAAGGUUGUGUGUGCAUAAAUAAAUCUAUGUUAUCUUUAUGGUAGAUUUAUGCGGAUUAAGGAAUACAUUUUUAGAUCCACGGUUGAAUGUUUGUCUAGGUUAGCUUUGGGUGUAUACCUAUUCAAAUCGGCUUGCUGGUAGUUUUGAAGGAAGAAGUUAUUCUUCUUAAACAACAGCUGUGCUUAUUGUACCAGAGGCAUGAGCAUCUUCUCCACUCAUUAGUGAAUGGAAGGGCAUUGCACGAAUGGGUUGCUAUUGAUCUAAGUUAUCCACGUACUCUAGGUGCUAAUGAUGCAUACUAUUUCUACUGGUUUUUGCGACCUUUGGUUCUCUGUUCGUCAUGGUCUCACCCACCCAUGGGUCUAUGUUGCUUAUAGUUGUUUUGGAUUCUAGAUUGCCUUGUUUAUCACUAUGGACGAUUGUAUGAGUCUCUGUAAUUGACUUUGAUCUGUAGAGCUCUGUUUCUCCUUUAAUUCUCAAGUUUCACAGUGAUAGCCUGAAGAGCUACGGCAGCGACAGUGGUAAUAUAGCAAAGAUGUUAUAUUUUUUGUUUGUUCUUACCCUAGCUAGGGUUAGAGAUAGGCUGGGCUUAUAACAAUCUGAAUUUUUAUUUUCUUUCUUAGUUUUCUUGGUUGGGUUUUUAGUAUGGUUUGAGCUGCUGAUUUUGCUUGUAUGAACCUUGUAUAUGGACUUUAGCCCAUUUUUCAAAUGAAUGAAUAUUUCUAUCUUUC